UACGGGGGGGGCAAGCGUUGUUCGGAAUUACUGGGCGUAAAGGGCUCGUAGGCGGCCAACUAAGUCAGACGUGAAAUCCCUCGGCUUAACCGGGGAACUGCGUCUGAUACUGGAUGGCUUGAGUUUGGGAGAGGGAUGCGGAAUUCCAGGUGUAGCGGUGAAAUGCGUAGAUAUCUGGAGGAACACCGAUGGCGAAGGCAGGUCUCUGGGCCAUAACUGACGCUGAGAAGCGAAAGCAUGGGGAGCGAACAGG
This 253-nucleotide ribosomal RNA is filed under the name uncultured bacterium. RNAcentral's name for it is "partial 16S ribosomal RNA". It matches the Rfam family "Bacterial small subunit ribosomal RNA", at positions 524 to 776 of the family's 1533-position model. The record is from RNAcentral.